CAAAAAAAAAAAAAAAAAAAAAACAAAAAAAAAAAAAAAAAAAGAAAAAAAAAAACAGCAUCUACAACAUUUGAGAACUCAUAGGUCCACAGGGAUGGGGUGUCUGAUCAGAUCUUUGCCAACUGUUUAAGUGGAUGGCCUGCAAGGACAUAAUUAUCUUUCUCUUGGUGAGAAUACAUAGAGCCUUCAUUUAGCCUUCAUUAGACAUUGAGUCAUAUUCUACAAUUUGUAAUAUUUUAUGACAGUCAUCAAGUAUGACUAUGUUAGCCAUCAGUCAUAAAUACAAUAUAAUAUGUAUUCUGUAUCAUCUCAUGGAUAGAAAGAAAAGGAUAAACUGAGCCUCAAAUUCUUGGGCUGUGUUCACAGGACCUGUGCAAAAAUACGGCUUUUUCAAAGUAGCUUGGGAAAAUAGGAGUGUAGGACAUCUUAAUAGAUUGACCUUGAAAACAAUAUAUUUAUUUCAAACUCCAGGUUCAAAGAUCCCAAUUGCAAGUGCUGUCUUAAGAUUGUUAUAAUCCUAAAUAAAAAGGGCUGGCACAAUUAUAGCUCCUUAUUUCUCCAGGUUCUUGCUUAGGUAUGGAUGGUGGUACCAUCUCACUAUUGAAUACCCUGAAAAUUCUCUCAAACACUCCAAGACAUUUGGUUAUGAACAGGGAGCUAAAAUCUCUCUUAAAGAGCAUUGCCAUUAGUCAGUUGAUACUUAUAGUGUGAGACUUGGAACCUCCCCCUGCCUCUCUGACCUGAGGAAUAACUUUUUCCCUGCGUGAGAUUCUGCACCUCCACCUAGAGUUUAUCUUACACUCCCUGAUCUAUGAAAGCAGCAAAUCUUAAUCCAGUAUUCACACAUUCAUACGAUCAGAAUUAACUGGGGUGCUGCUGCCUGUCACCUCAUUUUAUAGCUGUGAAAUUAGCC
This 913-nucleotide long non-coding RNA is filed under the name Homo sapiens (human). RNAcentral's name for it is "HSALNT0346132". Lineage: Eukaryota; Metazoa; Chordata; Mammalia; Primates; Hominidae. The record is from RNAcentral.